GACAGCAGUCGCCGCGGGAAUACGGAGGGGGCUAGCGUUGUUCGGAAUUACUGGGCGUAAAGCGCACGUAGGCUGCUUGGUAAGUUAGAGGUGAAAGCCUGGAGCUCAACUCCAGAAUUGCCUUUAAGACUGCCGAGCUAGAACGUCGGAGAGGUGAGUGGAAUUCCGAGUGUAGAGGUGAAAUUCGUAGAUAUUCGGAAGAACACCAGUGGCGAAGGCGGCCCACUGGACGACUGUUGACGCUGAGGUGCGAAAGCGUGGGGAGCAAACAGGAUUAGAUACCCCAGUAGUCCCUGUCUCUUAUAC
RNAcentral lists this ribosomal RNA (306 nucleotides) under uncultured bacterium. Its description in RNAcentral is "partial 16S ribosomal RNA". It matches the Rfam family "Bacterial small subunit ribosomal RNA", at positions 507 to 807 of the family's 1533-position model. The record is from RNAcentral.